GCCUGGGUGGCUCAGUGGUAGAGCACGUUCUUGGUAAGAACGUGGUCGCGGGUCCGAUUCCCGCCCCAGGCU
This 72-nucleotide transfer RNA is filed under the name Candidatus Woesebacteria bacterium. Its description in RNAcentral is "tRNA-Thr". It matches the Rfam family "tRNA". From Rfam's summary of the family: Transfer RNA (tRNA) molecules are approximately 80 nucleotides in length. Their secondary structure includes four short double-helical elements and three loops (D, anti-codon, and T loops). Further hydrogen bonds mediate the characteristic L-shaped molecular structure. tRNAs have two regions of fundamental functional importance: the anti-codon, which is responsible for specific mRNA codon recognition, and the 3' end, to which the tRNAs corresponding amino acid is attached (by aminoacyl-tRNA synthetases). tRNAs cope with the degeneracy of the genetic code in two manners: having more than one tRNA (with a specific anti-codon) for a particular amino acid; and 'wobble' base-pairing, i.e. permitting non-standard base-pairing at the 3rd anti-codon position. The record is from RNAcentral. Lineage: Bacteria; Candidatus Woeseibacteriota. RNAcentral also lists the same sequence under 1 other name.